Molecule: non-coding RNA, 65 nt
Organism: Ciona savignyi (Pacific transparent sea squirt)
Lineage: Eukaryota; Metazoa; Chordata; Ascidiacea; Phlebobranchia; Cionidae
Source: Rfam
UACACAUUUAUGACAGUUUGAAUGUAAAGUGUCCGACACCAAUUCAAACUUGAUGCACUGUUGUA